This is a small nuclear RNA of Oikopleura dioica, 113 nucleotides long. It matches the Rfam family "U5 spliceosomal RNA". Rfam says of the family: U5 RNA is a component of both types of known spliceosome. The precise function of this molecule is unknown, though it is known that the 5' loop is required for splice site selection and p220 binding, and that both the 3' stem-loop and the Sm site are important for Sm protein binding and cap methylation. The record is from Rfam. Lineage: Eukaryota; Metazoa; Chordata; Appendicularia; Copelata; Oikopleuridae.
UAGCUCUGGUCUCUCUUCAAAACGUAUAAUUCUUUCGCCUUUUACUAAAGAAUUCCGUGGAGAGGGACACUCUUAUGAGUAUUUGAAUUUUUCUGUAGCUCCACACGGAGCAG